RNAcentral lists this ribosomal RNA (119 nucleotides) under Alistipes sp. An116. RNAcentral's name for it is "partial 16S ribosomal RNA". It matches the Rfam family "Bacterial small subunit ribosomal RNA", at positions 1412 to 1533 of the family's 1533-position model. RNAcentral also lists the same sequence under 1 other name. Lineage: Bacteria; Pseudomonadati; Bacteroidota; Bacteroidia; Bacteroidales; Rikenellaceae. The record is from RNAcentral.
UGGGGGUGCUUGAAGUUCGUGACCGCAAGGAGCGACCUAGGGCAAAACCGGUGACUGGGGCUAAGUCGUAACAAGGUAGCCGUACCGGAAGGUGCGGCUGGAACACCUCCUUUCUGGAG